Molecule: ribosomal RNA, 497 nt
Filed under: uncultured bacterium
Lineage: Bacteria
Description: partial 16S ribosomal RNA
Rfam family: Bacterial small subunit ribosomal RNA
Source: RNAcentral
GAUGAACGUUGGCGGCGUGCCUAAUACAUGCAAGUCGAGCGAACAGACGAGGAGCUUGCUCCUCUGACGUUAGCGGCGGACGGGUGAGUAACACGUGGAUAACCUACCUAUAAGACUGGGAUAACUUCGGGAAACCGGAGCUAAUACCGGAUAAUAUAUUGAACCGCAUGGUUCAAUAGUGAAAGACGGUUUUGCUGUCACUUAUAGAUGGAUCCGCGCCGCAUUAGCUAGUUGGUAAGGUAACGGCUUACCCAGGCAACGAUGCGUAGCCGACCUGAGAGGGUGAGCGGCCACACUGGAACUGAGACACGGUCCAGACUCAUACGGGAGGCAGCAGUAGGGAAUCUUCCGCAAUGGGCGAAAGCCUAACGGAGCAACGGCGCGGGAGUGAUGAAGGUCUUCGGAUCGUAAAACUCUGUUAUUAGGGAAGAACAAAUGUGUAAGUAACUAUGCACGUCUUGACGGUACCUAAUCAGAAAGCGACGGCUAACUACGUG